AGAGUUUGAUCCUGGCUCAGAGCGAACGCUAGCGGCGGGCCUAACACAUGCAAGUCGAGCGCAUACCUUCGGGUAUGAGCGGCGGACGGGUGAGUAACGCGUAGGUCAUCUACCCUUUGGUGGGGGAUAACCCAGGGAAACUUGGGCUAAUACCGCACGAGGUCCACGGAUCAAAGCCUUCGGGCGCCAGAGGAUGAGCCUGCGUCGCAUUACCUAGUUGGCGGGGUAACGGCCCACCAAGGGGACGAUGCGUAGCUGGUCUGAGAGGAUGAUCAGCCACACUGGGACUGAGACACGGCCCAGACUCCUACGGGAGGCAGCAGUGGGGAAUAUUGCGCAAUGGGGGAAACCCUGACGCAGCCACGCCGCGUGGGUGAUGAAGGCCUUCGGGUUGUAAAGCCCUGUCGGGAGGGACGAAUUCUUGACGGUACCUCCAAAGAAAGCACCGGCUAACUCCGUG
This 460-nucleotide ribosomal RNA is filed under the name uncultured bacterium. RNAcentral describes it as "bacterial SSU rRNA". It matches the Rfam family "Bacterial small subunit ribosomal RNA", at positions 8 to 507 of the family's 1533-position model. The record is from RNAcentral.